Molecule: long non-coding RNA, 28364 nt
Filed under: Vitis vinifera (wine grape)
Lineage: Eukaryota; Viridiplantae; Streptophyta; Magnoliopsida; Vitales; Vitaceae
Description: long non-coding RNA (VVIN_LNC000763)
Source: RNAcentral
UUUGAUGUGUAGUGGGUCCUGCAUUCCUCAAUCAAAAGGAAUUUGAUAGGUUGGCAUGGUGCUUUUGUGAGUAAGAGAAAGGAAAAGGCUUGGAGGGUUGCCCCCUUUUGUUUAAUGUAGACCUUAUGGAAGGAAAGAAAUGAAAGAGUGUUCAAUGACACUGAACGAUCCGACCAAGCUUUAAAACUUUCUUUUUUGUACACUUUUGUGAAUUAGGGUAGGGUGUAUUUAGAGGAUCAUUCUUUGUCCUUGAUUGAUUUUAUAGAGUGGCUUUUGUCUAGAUAGGAGAAAGGUUUUCUUCUUUCUUUUUGCCUAGCUUCUUGGGCGUUGCUUGUAUACUUCGUGUGUACUCAUUUCGCCUCUUCUAGGCUUUUCUAAUACAAUCUCUUAUUUACCUAUCAAAAAAAAAAAAAAAAAAGGUUGCAUUGUCAAGGCUUCUUAAUGACAUUUUCCUAAUAGAUGAUAAAAGGUGUACAUUUAAGGCACCAAAAGUAGGUGAAUCCUAGUAAACAAGGAGUGAAAAAGGAUCAUCUAAUCAGUCUGGAAAGGAAGAAAAUGGGGGAACUACAUAAAUAACUACCGGUGCCCAACACUUACAAGAACCAUUUGCCCAAUCCUUCUGUGUCAGCAAAACGAAAAUGAUAUAUUCUUUCCUCCACAAAGUCAACUAUCAACCACAUGAACCAAGGCUUAAGGAAAUGUAUAUGAGCUUUAAAACAUAGAGCUAAACCCCAUCAAGAACCCUUUGAUUUGUUUCUUUCUAUAAACAUCCACAAACACUCAAAGCAGUUGUCCUGCAAACGUUCCUCCUCUUUCAUAGAGAACUUCCUUUCCAAAACAUUAGGAAAUUUUUUAGUAGUGGCAGGAAAAGCUGAAUAGAUCCCAAAUAGAGAAUGGAUAAAAGCCCAAAGUGUUGGAGAAGAUUAUGAUUGAUGAGUCCUCUAUUUUUGAAAACCAGUCACCACUUCCCCAUGAUGUGGUCUCCAAAUUCUCAAUUAGUCUAAUAUAAAUAUCUCAAUGGCAUUUAAAUCUUAUAUUUUCUAAUAAAACAUUGUUCUGAUAACGUGGAGCCCUGGUGGCAUUUAAAAAUUAUAGGGACAACAGCUUGAGUAUUUCUUGAUGUUUGGAGAAAUUUUUUUUGUCAUAAUUAUAUAUCAUUGAUUUUUUGAUGGUGAAAAUUGCUGAAGAUGUUUACUGUUUGUUGUGAAGCUCACAUGACAAAGGUUUCUCGCAAUGCAAAUAUGGCCAAACUUCAAGCUGGUUAUUUGUUUCCAGAGGUCUGUGAUGCACUUGCAUUUAUUUUCUGUAAUGCUCUAAUUUAUUAUUGAUUGUUAACUUCCAUUUACUUGUCUUGGAAUUAAUAUAGUAGUACACUAAAAUUUUCUUCAUAUCAUGGGACACAUAUUUCUUGUUGAACUUAAUGACUCUGGGUCUGUUUAAUUUGUCUCACUUUUCCAAAAAUACUAGUUAAUUCGUCUUUCAACUUGAGCUACUUUUCUAAUAUGUUUUGAAAUAGGAUGGGUUGGAUGAGGAAUAAGGUAACCUAUUCUUUUUUUAAUGAGCUGUUGCGCUCCCCUUUGUUAGGCGUUGUUGAUAUAAUUGAUCUUUGCCUAUCCCAAAAAAGAAAAAAAAAAAAUCCAUCUUACUUUGAGAUUGAGAACUUGAAUUUCUGACUGAGAAUUUUUGUCCAUAAAAGUGGAUGUAUCUUUAAAUUGUUUGGUAUGAUUCCAGUACAAAAUGGCAAAAACUACUGAUGUGAUUCACCUGUAUGUUGUGUGGUUUUGGAUCUGCAAUCUGUCGUCUAAGUUAUUUUUUAUUUUACAAUUUAUUCAUAGUUAAUGAGAAUUACUAUAUCCAGAUGGAGAGUAAGAUGUCCUGAUUAAUUGCAAUGUUAUACAAAAAAAAUUGAUGCAGGAAGAAAUUAUCUAGGAAGUUUUCAAUAUCUUCUGGAACUUAAUUUUUUUUUUCUUUUUGGCAUUGGUCUGUUAGUUUUGAACUAUUGUAUGGUUUAUCCAGAGUGGUCCAUGCACAGGGAUAGAAAGAGAAAAUCUUGUGAGCAUCUCUAUUGUGAUUUUUCAGGUUGUUUGUGUAUUAGAAUAGGAGUUACAUCUAUUUGCUUCCAGUAUGCUCUCUCUCUCUCUCUCUCUCCAUGCUUGUGUCUCUGCCUGUCUAUUCCAAAUUUGUCUAUUGAUUAGUGGGAUUUGUAAGUUGGCUGAUUUUAUUUGUCUUCUAAUUAUACAUUAGAUAUUUUGGCAUUUAUAGCAAUUGCUUUUCCUUGAUUAUUAGAUAGCCAGAAGAAGGUCAGCACACAUGCUAAAGUACCCUGAUGCACAAGUGAUAAGCCUUGGAAUUGGUGACACUACUGAGCCCAUUCCAGAAGUUAUAACUUCUGGUAUGGCAAAGGUAUUUGUUAAUUUUCAUUCAUUGAAAUUUCUUUUCUUGCAAGGCUUUUGCCAAAGAGCUUUACUACUACAACAUUUAAUGAUGUGCUGCUGUUAUUAAAAUCCUCGCUGUUGGAUUUUCAAAUUAAGUGCUUAUCUUUUCUUUAAAGAAAAGAUUGUUCAGGCAUUCAAAACAUCAUGCUGCUCAACCCUGUUCUGCAAAACUGGUAUUGAAUUGGAUGCUUGUUAUUCCUUAUUAAAAUUAAACAUUUAACUUGUUUACAUCCGAGUUAGGCCUGAUUGAUCUCCCGUUGCAAGGAGGGGAUUAUACGUGGAGUGGGGGGCCAAAUAAUCGUUAUUGGGCCAGGUUGGAUAGAUUUUUGGUUACCCCAAGUUGGAUGGAUCAAUUUAGCAGUGUGAUUCAAAAAAGACUGCCCAGGCCAGCUUCAGACCACUUCCCGGUGGUGCUGGAGGGUGGUACUAUGAGACGCGGUCCUUCUCCGUUCAGAUUCGAAAACAUGUGGCUUAAAGUAGAAGGGUUUCAAGAGCUAAUCCAUAGCUGGUGGCAGGGAAUAGAGGUGAGAGGAAGUGCUAGCUUUAGGCUGGUCACAAAAUUGAAAGUAGUGAAACAGAAGCUUAAAGAGUGGAAUAGGGAAGUGUUUGGGAGAUUGGAAGACAAUAAAGCUGCUGCCCUGCAGCUUGUGGAUCACUGGGACAGGGUGGAAUGUGAGAGAAGACUAUCAGAGGAGGAAACAGUAUCAAAAAAGGAAGCAAAGGAUAGCUAUGCUAAGUGGGUCUCUUUGGAGGAAACUCAUUGGAGGCAGCAUUCCAGAGAGUUAUGGCUAAGGGAAGGGGACAACAAUACAGGAUACUUCCAUCGUAUGGUGGCUGCACAUCGUAGAUCCAAUCAUAUGGACAGAAUUAAGAUAGGUGGGGUGUGGCUGAAUGAGGAAAAGGAUGUGAGAGAAGGGGUGGCCAAUGCCUUUCAGCAUUUACUUACGGAAAAUUCAGAUUGGAAGGCGGAUAUAGAAGGGUUGCAGUUAGAGCAACUAAAUCAGCAAGAGGCAGAGAACUUGGAACAACCUUUCUCUGAAGAGGAAAUUCAUAGUGCCCCGAUGGAGAUGAAUGGGGACAAAGCCCCAGGUCCGGAUGGCUUUUCUAUGGCCUUUUGGCAAAGAUGCUGGGUUAUAGUUAAAGAAGAGGUCUUGGAGAUGUUUAAAGAGUUCUAUGAGCAAAGUGUCUUCAUCAAGAGCAUGAACAGUACGUUUUUGGUCUUGAUACCCAAGAAGGGGGGGGGCUGAGGACCUUGGGGAAUUCAGGCCAAUCAGUCUAUUGGGGGGGUUGUACAAAAUAUUGGCCAAGGUCUUAGCCAAUAGACUGAAAAAAGUGAUAGGGAGAGUAGUAUCCACUGAUCAGAAUGCUUUUGUUAUGGGGAGGCAGAUCCUUGAUGCCUCAUUAAUUGCAAAUGAAGCAAUUGAUGCUUGGCAAAAAAGGGGAGAGAGAGGUCUCAUUUGUAAGCUGGACAUAGAGAAAGCAUACGACAGCCUAAAUUGGCAGUUUCUGAUGAAAGUCAUGAGAAAGAUGGGGUUCGGUUCAAGGUGGCUGGGAUGGAUGUGGAGGUGUAUAUCCACAGCCAAAUUUUCGGUGUUGGUGAAUGGAGUGUCGGCGGGUUUCUUUCCAAGUUCUAAGGGGUUGAGGCAAGGAGAUCCCCUCUCUCCCUACCUCUUUGUGAUGGGAAUGGAGGUGCUGAGCACUCUAAUCAGAAGGGCUGUUGAAGGGGGUUUUUUGUCAGGGUGUAGGAUCCAAGGAGGAGGAAGGCAGCCAGUGCAUGUCUCCCACCUGCUCUUUGCGGAUGAUACCAUAGUUUUCUGUGAAGCUAGGAAGGAGUAUCUAGCUUAUCUCAGUUGGAUUAUGUUCUGGUUUGAAGCCGCGUCAGGAUUAAGGAUUAAUUUGGAGAAAAGUAAAUUAAUUCCAGUUGGCGAGGUGGAAGAGAUGGAGGAAUUGGCAGCGGAACUGGGCUGCAAAGUGGGCUCUAUGCCCUCUGUGUAUUUGGGGCUGCCAUUGGGGGCCCGUAACAAGAGUGCAGCCGUGUGGGAUGGGGUGGAGGAGAAGAUGAGAAGAAGACUAGCGCAAUGGAAACGGCAAUACAUUUCCAAAGGUGGGAGACUUAUUCUCAUUAAGAGUACGAUGGCUAGCAUACCCUUGUACCAAAUGUCUCUUUUCCGUAUGCCCAAGUUGGUUGCGCGAAGAUUAGAAAAAUUGCAAAGGGAUUUUCUUUGGGGAGGAGGAAACUUAGAAAGGAAAGUGCACAAUGUUAAUUGGAAGAUUGUGUGUACGGAGAAGGAAAAGGGGGGGCUUGGCUUAAGGAAGCUAGUCCUGUUAAAUAAAGCUUUGUUGGGGAAAUGGAUUUGGAGGUUUGCUUGUGAAAAGGAAAAUUUGUGGAGACAUGUACUUGUGGCGAAAUAUGGGCAAGAGGGGUUUGGUUGGAUGACCAAAAAGACUAAUGGGACUUUUGGAGUAGGGGUUUGGAAGGAAAUUAUGAAGGAAAAGGAUUGGUGUUGGGAGAAUAUGGCUUUUAGGAUGGGGAAUGGUACCAGAAUCAGAUUUUGGAAUGACCUUUGGUGCGGAUGUACUGUGCUGUCCCAAAGGUUUCCUCAUCUUUAUGGGAUGGCUGCUCAUAGGAAUGGUACAGUAGAGGAUAUGUGGGACCAGAAUGUGGGCCAAGGUGAUUGGGAUAUAAGAUUUGUGAGAGGUUUUAAUGAUUGGGAGUUGGAUUUGGUAGGGAAUUUGCUUCAUACAUUGAGGGGGUUCAAUCCGACCUUAGAUGAGGAUGCUGUUUUUUGGAAAGGGGGGAAAAACGGAAAGUUUAAAGUUAGAGAAGCCUAUAACUUGGUGGUUAAUUCUGGGGCUAGCAAUUUUCCGAAAAACAACAUUUGGGUGGAUAAAGUUCAAACAAAAAUUUUGUUUUUUGCUUGGGAAGCUACUUGGGGCAAGGUGCUCACGCUUGAUAGGCUCCAGAGAAGAGGGUGGCAUCUCCCUAAUCGGUGCUUCUUGUGUGGAUGUGAAGAGGAAACUGUUAAUCACAUACUAAUACAUUGUAUAGUGGCAAGAGUUCUGUGGGAUAUGAUAUGUGCUUUGGUUGGUAUUAAGUGGGUCUUUCCAGAAACUGUAAAGGAGGUACUAUUAAGCUGGAGGGGCCCUUUUGUAGGGAAAAAAAGGAAAAAGAUAUGGAAGUCUAUACCGUUGUACAUUUUUUGGACUCUUUGGAAGGAAAGAAAUAGGCUUGCUUUUGGGGGGGGGGGGUGUUAGAUAUACAGAAAUUAAAAAAUUCUUUUGUCUGUAUUUUAUGGGGAUGGGCGAGAAUGUAUAGUGGAGAGAGGUCGUUGUCUCUUAUAGGAUCCCUGGAGUGGAUAGCCGCAAUAUAAGGGCUGGUGGGCUUUUUGUUGUUUUUGUUUUCCUGUGUUUUUUUGAGGCUCUAGCUAGAUUGUAUACUCCCUGUAUGCGUGUGGCUUUUUGGCCUCUUUUCAAUAUAUUUUAUGCUUACUUAUCAAAAAAAAAAAAAAAAACUUGUUUACAUCUGCUUACUGAGCAGCCUUGGUCUAGAAGUAAAGAUGAUGUGUUGCAUUAAAAAAAAGAAUGACCAGAACUUUCUCAACAGUGCAAUGAUUUGUAUCAUAGGUUUAUUUUCUUUUAGAACUUAAAUCCUUACUUGGGGUUUUAGUCAUCAAAAAAGCAAAAAAAAAUUCUUGCACGGGAUUUUCAUGCAACCCUAUUUCUUUUGAACUGAAAGAUGUUUUCUAAUCUUAACUAUGAUGAAAUCUAUCUAUUGAGCCAGUUAGGGCAUGGUGGUGGUGAGUGCCUUUAUAAACUAGUUACUUUUUGCAUGUGGAAGUGUGUCUCGAACUUGGUUAGGUCACAGUUAAAACCAAAAUAAGCUUAAGAUCCUAUAAAAAACUAGUCUGGGGUCAGCACUCCAUAGAUGAUGGAUCUGGGCACUGGGGUGUCAUUAACAUCGAAUCCUACCAGAGAUUCUUUAUUUCACCCUAUUUUUUUAGUUCCCUUCCUUUUCUGUUCCUGGUUUUGCUUUGCUCUUCUUUCCUUUCCUUGAGGGUACUCUUCUAUAUUUAUUCUCCCUUUUGAUAGGCAAAUAGAAAGUAAAACAACAAACACUUAAAAAAAAAGUUUCACCCUGGUACACUUGAGUUAUACAAGAAGCACUUGACAAAGCAAAAAAUAAAAAAUAAAAAAGUGAAUGACCACACUAAAGCCAAAACAAGGGCCUUAGUUUACCUCAUUAUAUCAGUGAAAUCUAGAAAAGACAGCAUCCUCUGCCUGACAGAAUCCCUGACCAACAGGACAGAUUUGAGGAGCAUGUAUAAUGUAAUGAAAUAAACUCCAAAAGGUGGUUCUUUGCACUUCAGUCCUUUUUUCCCAUAAAAUUCCUUGCCAGCAUAACUAAGACUCCCUUGCUGAAUAAAGCAGCACCCAAGAGAGUGCAAGGAUGAAAAGGAAAAGAACCCAUAGGAUACAAGUCGCCUCACUAUUUCUACAUGCUCUUUCUCUCUCCCAGUCUCUCUCCCUUUACCUCUGCUUGUCAUGCCAUGUUAUUGCAAAUGGCAUUUUUGAGGAAACUCCUGAACCUGUUUAACUAUCAAUUUUGCGAUGUAAUAUGCUACUAAACAACAUUAUGAGGAAUGAAUUUUAGAUAAAUACAUUUUCUGAGUGUUUUAUUUGAAUAUUUCUUUUGAAAGAAAAUGUUCUGGAUAAUGUGCUCAUAUCGCUUAUCGAUUGGACACUGAUGGUCUGCUAUUUUUGCUUGUAUAUUCUUUUUUAUUUUAUUUUAUAAUUUUUUAUGUUUGCAGAAAGCAAAUGCAUUGUCAACACUAGAGGGUUACAGUGGUUAUGGAGCUGAACAAGGUGAAAAUGUACGUGGCAUUCUUGGGUCUUCUAAUUUAUUUUACAUUUUUGUAAUACAUGAACAUUGCUAUUUCUUUGAUUGCAUUUGACGAUCUAAGACUUGGUAAAUGCACUCUUUGCUCGCAUGACUAUAUCCGUUCCAUCAUCAGUGACUUUUUCUCAUGUUUAAAUCUUAUCCAUGAACUUACAGAGUUUUCUUGCACAUUCAUAUGUGGACUGAUAUAUUGAUGCUGUAGUUUUUCUUUGUUUUACAAAGUCAAUGUAGGGUUUUUCUUUUUGAAUGUUUUUAUUUCAUCAGAAUUAAAAGAAAGCAUUAACACACUUCCUUUUUUUUUUGGUUUCUUUUGGGUUUCUGUCUAUUUGAUUUUCUAAACAAAGUGUUUUGUUUACUCUGGACUAUGGUCCUCCAAGUCCUGCAUGGUUUUUUCUAUAUCCUCUUACAUCAUUGGGAGAGUAAUCAUAUGUAAGUUUCUAAAAUUAGGCAUGUGGGGUCAUUGUUUAAAGUAAGGCUAUAGCUAUAGGUCACAAAUAUGUGCCUGUACAUAUACAACUGUGUAGUUUCUUUUCUGAAAAUUAUUGUCAAUUUUUACACAUUAAUUCCUUGAGUAUUAAUUGUUCUUUUGUAUUUUGCUUUUAAUUUUUUAGUUUAAAAAUUUUGUGUAUUUUAUAAUACAUGAUAACAGAUUUUGGAAGCUGACACAUGGUUUGCAUUCACAUCUAAUAAUAGGACGAAAAGGAUGUAAGCUGACACAUGGUUUGAAUUCACUUGUAAUGAUAGGACGAAAAGGAUGUAAUCAUAUUACUUGUCUUUUCGGUUAAAUAUAUAUAAGUAAAUAUUGCGAAAUCAGCUCAACAAAUUUUUAUACUGGCUGUUUACUUGACACCACACUCCUCCAUUUCUGGUUGUGGGAUUGGUUGGGUCAAACUUGAGAUUGUAGCCAUAGCAUGGGUUGAUAUUUUUAGUCCAGAAGUCUUUUUAAGCAUUCAUAAAACUUUUUAAAAGCUCUUGUGAUAUAAGAUUUGAUUAGUGUUUUCUCUUGUUUACAAUAAAUGUAAUGGAAGGUGAUGUUGUAACACAAAAUGUUGAAUCCAUGCAGCGCUUGAGAGCUGCAAUUGCUUCGACCUAUUAUGGUGACCUCAGCAUAGAGGAAAGUGAUAUAUUUGUCUCUGAUGGUGCAAAAUCUGACAUAUCUCGCCUUCAGGUUUUGUUGUGUUUUGAAUAUUUAUUUAUUCUCUACCUUCCCUUUUUUUGUUUGUUUUUAUCUGUGUCCCGGUGGAUUGCCUAUAUUUGGUGGAUCUUUACUUAUCGAAUGCAAAAAUGAAAAGUAGUUUGGUUUACAAUUAAUUUUAUUGAUAUACUUUAUUUUAAGUUUCUUAAUUUCUCUGUUUCUCCUUUAUGACAGGUCAUGUUUGGGUCUAAUGUUACAAUGGCAGUGCAAGACCCAUCAUACCCGGUAGUUCAUUUUUCUGUAUAAUGAUUUAAAAAAAUUUCAUCUCUGUAGUAUUACCAUGUCAGUUUUAUUUAGGUUCCUAAUUAUUUUAUUCAUUUUGAUAUCUAAAAUAAAAAGGUUGAGUUGUUUUUUCACCAUUUAUUUGGGCUUCUUGUUUAAUUCCUCAUAGAAUGAAGUUGUGCUAAUUUAAUUUUUUGUGAAUACAAUGCAACUCCCAACAUGAUUCUAGUUUAUCAAUCUGUUUAAUAAAACUUUCACUAUGUAUUUUUUGAUAAUUGUAAAAGUAUUAGAUAGAAAAGGAAGCAUAUAUGAUGUAUACAAAGCAUCCAAAAGACCAAAAAGGCGUAGGAACGCAAAAAAGGUAGCCACGACCUACAAGGAGCCUACCCAAUCCACAAAUUCUAAUAACGACAAAGAAUUGUUCCCAAUGUAAAAUCUUACCCACUCCCAAAAAAGGUUCAAGAAAGAACUUUUAAUUGUUUGGUCCUAGUUUUCACAAUUUUUGAAGUUUCUCCUAUUUUUCUCCCUCCAUAUAGUGCACAAUGCACAUAACAGAGAAACCUUCUCUUUUUUUUUUUUCAACUAUGUAUUGUUUCAACAUGGUGUGAUAUUUCUGAGAUGAGGCUUGAUGAUGUGCUUUUGGUUCAACUCUCAGUCUCUCUCUCUCUCUGUGAGGGCCCAAUCCGCCUGCUCUCUCACUCAGGCCGACACUGGUGUAGGGAUACAUUUGUUUGGGUGGGUCCACUUGGAAAGUUGACUAAUGGACAAUUUAGUGUUUUUCUAAUGGUUCAUCUUUUGGCCCCAGAAAAAGUGUCCUAGAUGAUGGUUGGAUUUGUUUAGUUGGGCUGACUUUUGUUGUAGCAAUCUACUUGGUUGGAUUUGUUUAUUAAAUGCUAAAAACACCACAUACAUGUAAUGUAAUCCUAUUUAGAUAAUGACUAAAUGUUGGAAUACUUGCAGGCUUAUGUAGACUCAAGUGUUAUCUUGGGCCAGACUGGGCAGUUUCAGAAGGAUGUUGAGAAGUAUGGAAACAUUGAAUACAUGAAGUGUAAUCCAGAGAAUGGUUUCUUUCCUGAUUUAUCUACUGUUUCACGAACCGAUAUCAUUUUUUUCUGUUCACCAAACAAUCCCACUGGUAAUGCUGCAACAAGGGAGCAACUGACCCGACUUGUACAGUUUGCCAAGGACAAUGGAUCAAUUCUAGUGUAUGAUUCGGCAUAUGCCAUGUAUAUCUCGGAUGACAGCCCAAGGUCCAUCUUUGAAAUUCCUGGAGCCAAGGAGGUUAGUUAGGAGAUUAUGAUUGGUUUUUCUACUCUACAAGCCUUGCUUUCUAUUCUUCAUAUGUUCUCUUCAUAUUCUAGUUAACUUUCGCCCCUUGGGUAAUUCAGAUAGAUGUUGUUUGACAUUCUGAUGGGGAUGGGAGCUACAGCUCAUCUUACAAUGCAAUUGUGUUUGAGUGUCCUUGCUCAUAACUUUUGAUUUAUGUGAUCUCCAUUCUCAUCAUCUUUUAAACUCUAUUCUGUUGAGCAUGUUAUGAAUAAUGGAUUGUUUCCUGGUUUAUCACAUCAUGUUAGUUUUUAUAAAAUGUUAUUUUCAUUUUCUUUUUUCAUCAAUUGGUAGAAUUGUGGGUAAUUUUGAUUAAAAAUGUGAUUUUACACUGGUGUUAUGUUGAAACACCUGGGAAAUGAAAUGAUUCACUUGUGUUUUGACAUUUUGAAAGGUUUCUAUUUUAUUGUUUUUGGCAUUUGAAGUGGUCUUUAUUUUGGGGUUGGAUCAUGCAUACUAAAAAAAAGCAUGUCAUAAAUAACCAUUUCACUCAUGGUAAAAAUGCACCAAUAAAAAUGGCUUUUGAACUCUAAUUUCUUAGGGGAAGUGAUUUCAAUUUUACUUCUCUGCAUUUUAUCUUUUUUCAAAUUCAUCAAGCAUUAAUUUUUUUUUUAAUGGCAAUUCGUCAAUGAUUAAAUGCCUCUCCUAAAUUUAUUGGUUGUAUAAUUUAAACUUGUGGUUAUGCUUUGCAUUUUUUUUGUUACUAUUGUAUUUUCUCUGCUCAUGUCUUUGGAAAAGAAAACUGAAUGGUUUCUUUUCCAUGGACAUCCAUUACCCCUGUACUACUCUCUAGAAAAAGGGUUGGAACCAAUGUAUGUAAGAGCUAUGCUUUGGAGAAAUGCUUGCUUGAACCUGUUUUUUAAUACCUUUUUAAGCUUUUAUUUUUGUUGGGCGUGGCAAGUCUCUUCGCUAUACAACUGAUAGCAUAACGAAAUUAAGUUAAACCUUUGGGUCUAGGAAAUCAGUUUAGGGAGGGGUGAUCAGAACUUUGGGCUGAGACUGGGUGUUGUGAAUCCAUUGUCAUGGUCUGAGGGAUGCCAACUGCCUUCACGGUUUCUUUUAUCAACAACUAUACUGGGGACUAUAUCUAUGUAGAAUUCAUGUAUAAUUUAUUGGCCUUAUAUGGUGUUGCAGGUUGCAAUUGAGGUAUCAUCAUUUUCCAAAUAUGCUGGGUUCACUGGAGUCCGUCUUGGUUGGACUGUGGUUCCAAAGGAGCUUCUAUAUUCAGAUGGAUUUCCUGUUGCCAAGGACUUUAACCGCAUUGUAUGUACAACCUUCAAUGGUGCAUCCAACAUUUCUCAAGCUGGUGGUCUGGCUUGUCUUUCACCAGAAGGCCUAGAGGUCAGUUUUGUGCUAUCAGUUUCUUGUUAUGGUUGCGAUGAUAAAAGUAAUUGAAGCAAAAAUUUGGAAAUCUUAAUAAUUUCAACUCCAAAUAAUUUCUAUAAGAUUUCAAAUUUUCUUUUUCUCAAGUACUAGAAAGAGCAUGCUUCAUACCAAUCCAAAUACAAAUUUAUGGAUUAUUCUAUUCCCUGCAGGCUAUGCAUAAAGUGGUCGGUUUCUACCAAGAAAAUACUAAUAUAAUCAUGGAAACAUUCACUUCUCUUGGUUUUAGCGUGUACGGAGGUAAGAAUGCACCAUAUGUUUGGGUUCAUUUCCCUGGUCAAAGCUCAUGGGACGUGUUCAGCGAGAUACUUGAGAAGACCCAUGUGGUAACAACACCUGGCAGUGGUUUCGGACCAGCUGGUGAUGGUUUCAUUAGGGUUAGUGCUUUUGGUCACAGAGGCAAUGUUCUAGAGGCCUGCAAAAGAUUCAAGCAGUUAUACAAGUGAAGUGUAGUAUGAGAAUGGUUUCAGUUUCAGCUGCCCUCCAUUAUGCUUCAUGUUCUCUGUGAUAGGAGGACUGGAGCAGGAUUCGUAUCUUAUGUAUCUCCCUCGUUAUUUCUCAUCAGAUUUUAUUUUUAAUUUGGUGUAGAACCUAGUAACUUUUACGAAGAUUGAUUUUGAAUUGGUAUACCCUGAUCCAUUUGUAAGGCUCCAAAAUUUGGUCACUGUUACAAAAGUCACAGCUUGGAAAGCUUUCGUAGGGACAAAAAUAGCAUAACCCAAGCACAUUUUGAUCAGAGGAGAGCAAUUUUCAACACACAAACUGAACUCAGCUCCCAACUCAACGGUCUGAGGAUCACCACCUAAUCUCAGUGGGUUUGUCUUUGCUGCUCUGCCAUGGCAUAUAUUCCGUCUAAUGCUUUGUUUAGGCAGGGAGCAAAUGAGGACAAAUUUGACGACCCAUUUUGCAACAAUGCCAUGGGCUUGAAUCAAAGAACCCACUGAGAUUAGGUGGUGAUCAGCUGCAAGUGUUUAUGGCUGGGGUUUUAUUCACCAGUUGGGCACAAAUUAACAGGGCCACAAAUGGCAUAUUUUGAGGCCAAGAGGAUCACAUAACAGGAAAGGUUUGAGAAUAAACUUAUUUCUAAAAUCAUUUGUGCCGGUGUAUAGCAGCAAACUAGCAUUUCCUAUAUCUCCAAAGUUCAUUCCAGCUACUGAUACAUUUAAGAUACAAUGGACAUCUAUUUUACAAUACUCCAUCGAAGUAUGCCCGAAACACACCUUAACUAUUCUGUUCCAUAAUAUAAGAACUAAUCCUUCAGGGGUUGAUGAUUUACAAGUACGAAAUUAGAUUGUCUAAAACUGCUCUAUGCUCUUCAUAAUAUUAUGCUCUUUGCAAGUUGUUUUGUUGUCCAGUUAGGUUGCACCGGCUACAGUGCACUGUAUGCUUCUCCCUAUUAAGAUCCUAUACGCAUAUUCACUUCUUUUCAGGGCGUCCUGGUGGUAGACGGAACUUUGGUGGUUGCACAACUGGAGUGUCAUCAUCCACAGGAGCCUCGACUGUUCUUCUCCACUCAAUUUUACAGGGAAUGGGGCGUAUCUCUUCUGAAUAUGCUGCACGAUAACUUGCCACAGUGAAACACUUCUCUGUAAAUGCGUACACAUCUUUUCCACAUGAGAGGAGGGCUGCAACAGCAUGGGAGCAUGAGAUUCCAUAGAGUUGCCAAUCACGGCAGGAACAGCACUGAGUCCCUAUGUUCACAAUGUAUGAUCACUCGGCUGAUAGAACCUCAAAUUCUACUUGAUAUGUUGACGCACGGCCAAUCACCUUCAUCAUUCGCUUAUCAGCAGAUGGGGCUAAAACUGAAAACCAUGAAUUGCUCUUUAAACGCUGCUCCUCAAACUCAGCCAUUAGUUUACCGUGAAUCUGCUCAAUCACCUGGAUUAUGGGCAGCUCCCAUGCUUCAAGAUUCCAUUUAUUGAAUUCCUCAAUAUUUGAAGAGAGAUGACCAUAUCGUGUUCCUUUGAAAUACACCAAUGCCCAACAGGAAGUUGGAAACUGUUGAAUCCACUUGGCUGCUUCAGAAGAAACCUCCUCAAUCUCUGCCAUUUUUUCUUUAAAAGCAAUGGUAGUUGUGGCAUAUGCUGCUUUCCAUAGAAGAUGAACAAGCCUCCAGUUCUUGAACUCUUUGCCCAUGCUUUCACUCAAGUGGCGCAUACAGAAAGCAUGGGAAGAAGUCAGGAAUUUCCUCUUUACAACAUCUUGGAUGCCCUUCUGUCAGUCCGAUAAAAAUGUGAGUUGAGGUACAUUCUCUGUGUUCAUUUCUAGUGCCUUAAUAACUCUGACAGGAACCACAUCCAGAGAAAACAGGAAUUGGGUCGACCCCUAACUUGGGGCUUCUGGAGAUAAAUAUGCACACCUUCCUUCUCAGCUUGUCGUCGCAAUUCUGCAGCUUCCUUCAUAAGAAUUGCAGCUAUUCUAUUCUCCGUGUCCAAAUCCAUCUCACCCUGCUAAGCAAGUUCCAAGAUAUAAACCAGUCUGUUAUGUCUCCAAAAGAAGAAAUAUGAAUUGAAAUAGAAAACAGUGCAAUAAUAUUAAAGGCAAGCUUAGACUGCCUCCACCAUACAACCAUAUUCCAUGUGUAAGAACAUCCCAGGUCUCUCUUAAUCAAUUUCUACUGUGUGUAAUUUAUUUUGGUAUGUAGCAUUGACUGUUACAACCCGUGUAACUUUCUAAGGAUUAAAACACAGACACUUUCAUACUUUUGCGCUAUCCAUUAAACAACCAAUGAAGUUUGAAAAAGAAUGAAGAUACUUUUUCUUCGUCCUUUACCCUUCCCUCAUUUUCCGACAUCAAAACUGAGUCUUAUGGUAAGGAUGCAAAACUCCAACCAUGCUUUCAAAAUCGUAAAAAGAAAAAAAUAAAUCAAACACCCAGCGCGCAUCACAAACCCUAAUUCUCGAAUAUUCGUUUUUCAGAUGAUCGAUGCCCAUUACAUUAAUCACAACAAACCCAGUAACGUAUAAAGGGACGAUAUUGAAUUCCCAAAUAUUCAUUUUUGCUAGACGAUUGAUGCCAAUUACAUUAAACAAAACAAACCCGGCAACGUACAAAGGGCCACAGUACGUGCAUAUCACAAACCCUAAUACAUGGAUUUCAAGAUCGGAUCUUUUUUUAAAGUUAAAACCAAUGCUUGGUCUAUCUUUUUUUUGCUUUCCCUGAUACCAAAUAAUAGCAAAAGAUUUCGAUUUUUCUUGCGACACCAUCAAGAGCUAACUAAACGAUUUUCUCUGCUUGGUUGCUGAGAAAUUGAAGGAAAAGCAGAGAAACUGAGUUGAACCCUAGGAUAGAAACCUGGACUCAUCUUUCUUAUCUUUUUCUACCAUUUUUCCCGGCAAACGAUCAUACGAGUAUUAAAAAAUUUAAAAAAACAAAAUAUAAAAACGAAAAAAUAAAAUAAAAACCUCGUCUCUUCUUCUUCUUGUGUUUCUGUGGUCGAAUUCUGCCUCUUUCUCUCUCCUCGGUUCCCUCUUUCUCUCUCCUACGGCCUUGUUUCCAGAAAGCUCUGACUCGUCUUUUUUACUUAUUUAUUUAUAUUUAUAGUUACUUUUUGCAAAAUAAUGGCUUUUAUUUCACUUUGAGGACUCCAAAUACAUCAUAUUUGACUAAUGACCCCGCUUAAAAAUGAAAACUACAAAAUUUCAGUCGGUCCUGGAAGGCUAGAUACAUUUUGUAGUUUUUAUUUUUUUUAAAUAAUUUUUUUUUCUUGUUUUUAUUUAAAAUACGAUUCAUUUUAAAAAAUAAAAACUAUGUUUAUAAACUAAAAUCUAUAAAAUCUUAUUUUAUUUUGAAAUUUUAUAAAACUAAAAAAAAAAUGAAAUGUAUAAUUUAAAUUUUUUAUACUAUAUAUAAAAUAUAUUAUUAUAAAUAUUAAUAUUAUUUUUUUAUAAAUAAUAAUAAUAUCAUUAAUAUACAUAUAUCAUAUUAUAUUUUUCAUUAUUUUUUAUUUUUUAGCAUUAUUAUAUUAAAAUAGUGUAAUAAAAUAUCUUAUGCUUAUAAUUAAAUACCCUAAAAUAAAUUAGUUAAAUUAUUUUUAAAAUACAAAUAUAUCCACUUAUUUAUAAAAAGAUUCAUUUUAAGUAUAUAUAAAAUGAUAUUAUUCAUAUUCCUUAUUGUGAGUUCUACAAGGUUUGUGAUUUUUAUUUUGUUUUUUUUUUCAAUUUAAAAGACACUCUUCAAACAUGUAUUCAAUUCAAAUGGACUUCUUUUUAUUUUUUAUUUUUUUUAAAGAGGAAAACAAUUUAAAUAUAUACAAAAGUAUUUUCUAAAUAAUUAUUGUACCAAAAUUCUUUAAAAUUAUUUUAAAAAAAUUAAGACGAUACAUUGAAGUGAUUUUGAUUAAAAUGUAUUAGAUACUCUUUCCAAAAUCCAAUAAAAUUCUCAUUUUUAAAUACUUUUGACAUAAAAUCCUCUUACUCUUACUUGCAAUUCCCAUGUCUAAGGAAAAAGCUACAUUAUAUUGUUGAAACUUCAAUUAAGGAAAUAUUGUGAGUAGAUAUCAAUCAAAUCCAAGUCUAGAACACCGAAUAGUUGCUAGCAUAUACUCAAGUAUCUUUAGAGAACGAGAGAUUAUAUGCUUGUAUUCUAGAGUAUUGAGAUAGUUUAGAGGAAUGACGUGACGAUUGAAUAGAUACCUUUUGUGGAGAACCUUUCACCAGGACAUUGACCGAGAGAGUCUUUGUUGGUCACAAGGAUAAUAUAUGUUUUAGAUGAGUAUUUAGUAUACUUUGAUAGCAUAAUGCUUUAAGGGUUAGUGGGAGAAUGUUAGGAUAGAGCUCUUAAAAGUAUGACAUGAUGUAGUGAAUUUGGAAUUCAUUAUUCAUUUGAUGAUAUUUCAAGUUCACUUUUAUCUAUCCUUAUUCCAUAUAUUAUACUCUAUAAGCAUUCCAACUUAACAUUUCUUUUAUUGUACAUGACUUGGAUGCAUUAGGAGUUGCAUGAAAGAUCCAAGUCAUGGGUUUCUUUCAAGUAAAUGAUUUAUUCAUAAUCGGUUUGUGGAAUUGGACAAUCCAUUUGAUACUAUAAUGCACCACCUCCUAAUUGGAGGAAUAGAUGGUCUUGGUCAUCAAGAUGGGUCCCCAUGGUGAGUGUACUAGUAUGUAUGGUUAUAUAUUGUACAUGACCUAUGAUAAGUCAUGACAUAAGACUAUUAAGUAGUCAUGACUUCAUCAAGUUGUUAUACUGUAUAAUCUUUUAACCUUAAAAGAAUAUUGAAUUUGUAUAGAAGUUAGUAGUGACUUUGACAUAGGUGAGAUCAUAAGUUGAUUAUAUAUUCCCUAUGGAUUGGGUCACUAUUGAUAAAAACUUAUAGCAAUAGGUAUUUCAAUAAAGGCAUCAUGAUAUCUCAUGGACUUUGAGAUGGUAUGUCCCCUUAGGUGAUCCUAAGGACGUGUAAUCACAAAAUCCGUAGGGUUGCAAGAAUUCCUUUAGUGGAAUUUGACAUAUGCUCUUAGUGACCUAGAGUAUAUCAUUUGAUCAUAUAAUAGGAUGAUUUAUAACUUAAGGAUUAUAGAGGUGGUUUUGAAAGGCUAAUAGUUUGAGAUUGUAUAUAGUAAAUAGCAGGUUACAAACUCAAGCACUUGUGUUUCAUUGUAAUAACGUAAGGUAUUGGAGUGUAGUUGACUUUCUAUAAUGAGAUAUUAAGUCAACUUCAGAAUUGGAUUAUGAGGGAACCAAUAUUGUCCUAUGGGUCCUAGUGGUCUUUACUUGAGUUCAUAUUCCUUGAUGGUAUGGUUUAUGAGGGUUGAAUGAGUUUUUAAUUCACUUAUGUGUAUAAGAGCAUUUUGAUAAUUAUGUAUUGUUGCAUAGGGGUAAGUGAAUGAUAUUUAUGAAUUGUACUAAUUGACUAAUUGGAGCUCUAUUGAGUUAAUUAAUCAAUUAGUAACAUUGUUGGGUUAUAUUAAGAAAGUUAUGUUUAUAGUGGGAGCUUAGUAGGUAGCUUAUAAAUGCCCUUUUAGGGGUUAGGGCUUCUAACUUUGUCACUUUCUCCUUGUAGUCCAAAGAGAGAACCCUAAUCUCUAGUCUUGAGAUUUCCAUCAUCUUAGUGCAUAGACUCAAGGGGGAGUCAUCGGGUGGAAGGAUACUAUGUUUACAAGAUCUACUACGACUUUGGAGUCUUUUACAUUCACUGAAUCAAUCCGAGAACAUCCGAAUCGGAGGUAUGUGGCAUUUUUAUCUAGAUCUAUGUUUUAUAUGGUAUUUUGAGUGUUUUGGAAUAUUAAGUUUUCCAUUGCAAUAGAUUUAUUAAGUCUAAGAUAGAUUUUCAUGGACUCUAAUGAUCUAGGGCUUGGAAUAAAGCAAUCCAAGAUUUCCUAACAAAUAUUUGCUAUUAUUGUUAAAAUGGUAAUUAAGGAAAGUUAAGAGUAUUGUAUUAUAAAAAAAGGUGCAAAAGUUAAAGAGUAUUGUAUUAUAAAUAUAAGUGCCCAUUUUAAGUCUUUUACAAAUGUGAACCCUUGUUUUAGCUUGCUACAACUUUGAUCCUUUAUAUCAUUGAGAGUACUUCUAGUUCUUAUAAAAAUUUUCUAACUGUCACUCUUUGUCUUUUCCUACAACAUCCAAAUUUCAAUAACAACAAUGUUAUUACCAUCCUCAACAUUGAUGAAGGUGGAGUAAGAGAGAUUAUCCCAAGGAUCAUCCUUAGCCCUCUUGAGUCUCAACUUUGGGUAAUAUCUAUGUAGCAACAAGUCCCUUAAGCAAACUUAAUCUUAACAAAGUUUAUUCUAUAUUAUAAUUCAAAUAUUAAUUCUUAAGCCAUCUCAACUUGACUCAAAAGAGGGAUGGAAAGGAUGUAAGAAUUAUAGACUACUUUGAUGUGAUUGAUGGGACAAACAUAGGUGGUCUUAUCAUUACCAUGCUAAUAACAUGCUUCAUGUUUGUUGCCAAAGAUAUCAAGGAUUUUUAACUAAAUUAUGAAGGUAAUUAUGUUGAAUAGGAUUAAUAAUUUAAGCAAUUAUUUUAUUUUAUUUAUAGUUAUUAACAACAUUUUGACUUUUUUUUUUUUUUUUUGAAUAACACUUUUGUGUUUCCUAGUUUUAAAACAAAAGGCAAUCAAAACCCUAUUAGGUCCAAAAUAUGACGAGAAGUAUCUCCUCAACCUUUUAAAGGAAAAACUAAGAGAUAUUCGAUUACAACGGAUACUUACAAAUAUUGUAAUCCCUAGUUAUGGCAUCAAGCUUUCCUACAUUACAAUCUUUUUUGGUUAUCAGGUUUAGCUUUAUCACUUAGAAGUUCUUUUCCAAGCCUCAUAAUUUACUUCUUUCAUGUUAAAUUAGUGUGCAAUUUUGAUUAAUAUUGUUUGUCCUUUUAUUUAAUUUCAUGCUUUAGGUGAAAAGCAAAUCAAGCUUAGAUGCCUUGCUGUCGAAAAUAUGUAUUGGAACAUUGAGAACACCAAUUUAUAUCCCAGCCCAUUAUUUUGAAAUCAAAGGUUCCAAAAGGGAAAGUGAGAGAAUUCAAUGUCAUUGAUGGUUGUACAGCCCUAAACAAUCCAGUAUGUACACAAAUUGGAUAGUGUUUCGUUUACUAUAAAUCUUAUCUUAAUGAAAAUUGGAACAUAUGUUAAUCUUCUUCUUCUACAUCUAUGGCAAUUAAUUCCACUUAAUUAUUGUUAAAUUUUUUCAGACUUUGAUUACAAUUGGAGAAGUGAAGAAGGAGAUCAACCGGGUGAGUCUUCACUUCUUCCUUGUAAGGCUAGCAGAUUAUGGUCAGUGCCUAGUGAUAUUAUUAAGAACAAGUUAACAUAGGAAGAGAAAUAUGAUACAAACAAAGCAACUACAUGGGGUGUGUUGGGAUGGUUGACUAGUGAUGUUUCCACCACCCCACUAGUGAAUGCAUUCACCCAAGCUGCACACCUAAUUUUUAUAUUUGCAUUGUCCCUCACAAGGAUGAAAAUGUUAGUUUUCAUGGAUAUAUAUUGAUUAUUUGAUUUUAUGGAUAUAUUAAAAAAUAUCGAUAAAAAUAUUGAUAAAGAAAAAAUUGAUAAAAUUCAUAGAAAUAUGAUAAAAAAUUCCAAAAAAAAAAAAAAAAGAUAAAACAUGCAAUAGAACAAAUAUUAAAUUUGUUUUCAUUGUAUGUAUGUAUUUUUUCUUAUAUUUAAUUACUCCAUAAAAGAUAUAUAGAAAGAAUUAUUAAGAUAGGAUGGUUUUAUUAAUUUUGAUUUGUAUUUAAAAUGAUUAAAAUUAAUUUUUUCUAUCGACGUAUUCGAUAUUCCAAAAUUUUGGCCAAAUAAAGCAACCACGAAACCAAUGAGAAAUAUCUUCUCUACGACGUUUCAAAAGAGUCCUAACAACAAAGUCAAAACAUAUACCUAUUCAAUGAAAUUAUAAUUCGAUGCUAAUAUUACACUGAAAAUAACAAAUAUUAUAUCAAACAGCUUGAAAAGAAAUGACUACAUACUACACCUAAAAUAUGGACAAUUUUUUUAUUAUUUUUUUGUAUGAUAUCAUUCAAUCAGUCGAUUUUGUACCAUUAAAGCCAUGAGUAAUGUAGCCAUAUUUCAAGUUCUAAACUAAUUUUUUUUAUUGAAAAAUAAAUAAAUUUGGACGUUGAUGUGGGUUUUACUUUUCUUUGGUUUCAAAUGAGAUGAUAAAAGCUAAUCAAAUGUCUUAGAAACAAAGGCAAAAGCAUGGAAGAACAUAAAUGUAGGGACCCCUCCCUCCGAGAACACGUGGCACGCAUCUUACAGUGACACAUGGCAUGCAUCUUACGGUGACACAUGACACGCAUUGUCAUCCGAGUCACCCUCAUCCGGAUCUUCCUAUAAAGCACACAUGGCACGUUUUUUCGGACUACCUCAAGAAAGAUCAAACGACACUUAUAAACAUAUCAUCCGGACGGCUUACACAAUACACCCGGAUGAUCAACAUAUGCCAUCCGGAUACAAUGGUCCGGAUCAUUGACUGAAGUAAGCAAGUCUCACACGUUACCACAACAGUCUGUCAUAGCCCACGUUCCGCCGCCUGCAGGGUGAGAGGACAAGAUGAAGUGACAACAAGUCACUUCCUAUGAUCAUUCCACAUGGUCACUUCCCACGAUCUCUGACAGCCGCAUCACCUACCACGAUCUCUGUCAGCCACCCGUAGGGUGGUGAUAGCCCUGCCACCACCUAAUGUCAUCAUAACAACACAAAAUAUCUCUCUGUCAUUAAAGAGGCAAUCAAAGCUUCUGAUACUAUAUAUAUCAACCUUCACACAAGGAGGAGGGUAAACUUGCGAUACCUAGUAAAAAGCCAACUGAUUAUCUCUCUCCAACCAUGGCUGACAAAACCAUCGAAGGAUGCGUUCGGACACCGUGUCCGGACGUCUUUUGCAGGUAUAGCGACUGAGUCAAGAACCUAUAUUGGUUGAGGUCGCGCAUCCAUCCAUUUGGCAACUACGUGGAACAACAAGAGCGCGAGGUAUCAACAAUAAAGUCUUGUUAUGGAUGACUUCUUGUUGGAUUUCUCCCGGGGCAAACACAAGGAGAAGAAGAAGAUGAUUUCAUAAGGGUAUUUUUGACAUUUUCACCAUUAUUUACAUAAAUGAUUUUUUUAGUUUCUUGUAAACAAUCUUUUGAUUUUUUUUACUCAUCCAUAUUUUAAAUUUUUCGAUAUUUUUAAUAAAAAUAUUUUUCAUUAUUUUUAGCCAUCAUAAUCUAUAUUUUUUAUAAUGAAAAAAUAUUUUUAUUAUUUAUAAUAAAAAUAAUAAUUAUCCAUCUUUUAUAAUAAAAAUUGAGAAGAAAAACAUUUAUGAUAAUUUUUUUUCUUCAUUUUUGACCAUCAUUAUCCAUAUUUUUUCAUGUCUACCUUCAUCAUCUUUCUUCUUUAUUGAAGACAUGAUUUACUAAUUAAAAAAAUAUAUAUUUUGGUGCAAAAAUCCCAUUAGCCAUUUAUUUUUUUAACUUGCAAUAUUCUCCAUUAUGUCUCACAAUUAAUUUUAACCCUUUUCUAAGCAUUUUUUUUAAUCCAUACACUUAUUUAUGCCCUUCCACAUGGAUAUAAUUUAAGGUUUAUUAUUUAUGUAAUUUUUUUUUUUUACAAAUAUUGGUUGUAAAAAUAGUUUUAGAAAAAAUAUUUAAAAAGAAUUUAGAAGUGAAAAUAUAAGAAAUUUUUUUAAAAAUGUUAUAAGUGUUUGAAUUUAAAAGGUUAAUACUAAGUGGGGGUUUGAAAAUAUAGUACUGGAUGUUCUUAAAAAUGUGUGGAAGUAUAAUGUUGGAUGCUUCUAAAAUCAUCCAAUAUUACAACUCUAGAUACUCGUUCUAAUCAUUUAUUUUCUAUUGAUAGAAUACAAAAAAUUGGUUCAAAUGCAUUUUUAACAUCGUUGGAGAUGAUUAAUUGUUUAUCCAUUGCUCAAAAACCAUAAAUUUCUUUAAAAAAUUAUUAGGGUUUUGGAGAGAUUAGAGGAGAAAAAAAUUGAAAGAAGAAGAUGAAAAUGGACAUGUACUAACUCUAAAGGUAUUUUGGUCUUCAAUAAGGGGUGUUUUUGUCCUAAAAAAAAUCAUAAUGUAGGUGGCUCCAUAGAGUGAUUAGGUGGUUAUAGAUCUACUUUUUCUUAUUUUAUUUUUAGGAUAACAUUACCCAUAUAUAAAAAGACUGUUUUACCCUUACAAAUUCAUAUUAAUGCGCCUUUCUUCAAAUCCAACCUCUCCAUCACCCCCAUAAGCUCGAAGUGCAUUCUAAGGUAUUUGCUCCCUUUUUCUCAUUGAUUUCUAUAGAUUAGAUUAAAAAGUGUGUUCUAAGUAUAUGAUGUCAAAGAUGAUUCAAACAAGUAAAAUUGCAUAUUAGAAACACUGGACAAAUAAAUCAUCCUCGAUAUUUAAUUUUUCAAUCAGAAUUUCAUAAAUUAUUGUAAAGAAGUGCAUUCAAAAGAUAUAUUCACUUUCAUUCAAACACUUUUUAUAGUGUCUAAGAGUAUACUUCUAAGUACUAAAAAUGUCUAGAAAUGGACUUCUAGACACUAUAAGAGGAAUUGAUGCUAUAAUUUAAGACAUUUUUAUAAGGUCUAACGUUUUAUACCAUAGUUUAUAAUACUCUUAUAAUAUGAUAUCCAACAUCUAAUAUUAUAGUUCCGAACACUUCCAUAAUAUUUGAUAUUAAACAUUUGUAAUUUCUUUUUUUAAAAUUUAAAACCUUUUUAUUAUUUAUUUUUUCUAUUCUAAAUAUUUUUUUUUCUUUUUUAAAAGGGAAAAAAAAGAAGAAAAAAAUGUAUUUUUUUUUAGAUAUGAUGUGUUUAGUAUGGUUUUAGAAAAAAUACAAAGGAAAAAUUAUUAAAAAAUAAUUUUCUUAUUUAAUUUUACUAUGAAAAAUAAGAAAAACAAAUUAAAUAUAACUAAAAUUAAUUAAAAAUUCAUACAUUUUAAAUUAUUUGAUUUUUACAUAAAAAAAUAAAAUAAUAGAAAUCAAUUUAAAUAAGACAUAAAAUAAUUUAUUAAAUUUAAAUUUAUCUUUUAAAAUUUUUUGUACUUUCCCUUUUUAAUUUUUUUCUCUAUACAUUUUCCCCACCAAACUUAACCCUUUGCUGAUGUGGCUUUAAUUCCAUAGAGGACUUACUUCGGAGGUUGGUUAUAGAAUAUAUAUAACUUUGGAAAUUUAAGCUAUAAUUUCUUUUAUGUUUGGUUUUUGAAAAAUUGUAAGAAAAGAAAAAAACUAUAUCAAAAAAUUAAUUUUAUUGUGUUUAAUUAUAUUAUAAAAAAUAUAUCAAUUAAAAUUAAAUAUAAUUAAAAUUAAUUAAAAAUUUAUAUAUUUAAUUUGUAUAUUAAAGAGUUAAAAUAAAUAAAAUGAGUCUAAAAUAAUAUAUAAAAAUAAUUUAAUUAUUAUAAAUCAAUGUUUUAUUUUCUUUUAUUUUUUAUUUCCAUUUUCUUUAGCUUGUAUUUUUCUUUCAAAUUAAAUCAAAUUUAACCACGUCAUCAAACAGUAGGACGAUGCCAUCUGACGUGGCAUUGUAACGUGAGAACCUAGGGUUUGAAAGUACCAUAUUCCAAAACGGCGGCGUUGUAAUAAAGCUGUUUCAGCUUUUAGAGAACACACUAGAGGCUUUGAGGAUAGAGAGUGGCGUAUCUGUAUCUGCAUCCAAAAACAUGUACUCUCUCAUGUCUUCGCCUUCCAUCUCUUCAUCUUCCUCCUCCUUUUUAGGCCAAACCCACUUCGAUUCCAGGUAUCAAAAUUCAACUUCUUUAUCCUCUGUUUGAUUGCUGAGAAAAUAUGGGGAAAAGAAGAAACCUAUAGAAAAUUUUGGGUAUUAUGAGCAUGUUUGGUUCCUGAUUUUAAGAACUUAUUAGUGUUCUUGAAAACAAAAAAUACAAAAAACUUAUUUGGGAAAGGGAGAAUGUUUUUAUUUUUUGUGUUUUUUAUAUUUUCAAAAACCCAUUUUUUGAUAACAAUAAAAGGAUGUUAUCAUUAUUUUUUCAUUAUUUAAAGAAUAAAAUGUUUUUCUUAGUUUCUUUUUCUUCUUUUGGUGUGUCCUCUUGGUACAAAGAUGAGCUCCAUCCAUCCACUACAUCCCCAUCCGUAAACUCUUUCUUCUUUCUUAAAUUAUUGAAAUUAAUAUACUUACAUAUGAUGACAAAGUCAUAAUUUUAAAAAAAAAAAAUUAUAACUGAUGUAAAAAUUACAAAAUGAAAUAAUUUUUUUAAUUUAAAUGAAUUGUAUAUAUGAAAAUCAUUUAUAUAUUUAUAAUAUCAAGUUAAUGGAAGAAAACACUUUAUUAAUUAAAAAAAACUUUUAAACAUAUUUUUUGUUUUACUAUUCCAAUGAUGAAAAUAUCGGAAUAUAUCAACAAUAUAUCGUCGAAAUAUUGAGACAUAUUGACAAUAUAUCGUUGAUAUAUUAUGUAUCCGAGAAGGUAUAUCUUAAAUAUCAAUAAAUAUUGGUAAAUAUUGACGAUGUAUUUACGAUAUAUUGGUAAUUAAUGUGAUAUAAGCAAAAUAUCAGUCCUAAAUGGGAAAAAAUCACUGAAAUUUCAACGCUAUAUGAGAUAUAUCUCAUAUCUCCAAAAUCAGUAAAAAAUUAAAUUAUUAUAAAUAAGUUAAUUUUAAUUAUCUUAUAAUUUAUUUUGUUUACUAAUUAAAUAUAAAACAAAUAUAAAAUCAUAAAUAAAAUUAUCAAUAUUUUUAAAUAAAAAUAUUUUGUAUCAAAAUGUACUAAUAUUUUAAAAUAAAAAAUCAUAAAUAUAUUUAAAUAACAUAAUUAGUACAUUUACAAUAAUUUAGUUUUAAAUUAAUAAUUUUAUUUUAUUUUGAUAUUUAAGUGUAAUAAUAGUAUAUUGAGAAUGAUAGUACAUUUUCAAUAAUUUAGUUUUAAAUUAAUAAUUUUAUUUUAUUUUGAUAUUUAAGUGUUAUGAUAGUAUAUUGAGAAUAAAUUAACUGAGUACAUGUAUAAAUUAGUAUAACAUUGAAUUUAAAUUAAUACAUUUUUACAAUUAAUUAAUAUAUUUUCAAUAGAGGUAAGUAAAUUAACUUAAUAUAAUAAUAUAUUUAAAUCAUAUAAUUAGUAUAUUUGUAAUAAUUUAACUUCAUAACGAGUUUACACUUAUAAAAUUCAUAUUUCUUAUUAACCGACAUUAUAUAAUUAAAUUUAUUAUCGUAAAUCAUAUCAUAUAUAUAUUAAUUUUUUUAAAAAAUAACUUUAAAAUAUCAUACAUAUAUUAAUUUUUUUUAAAAAUAACUUUAAAAUAUCUAUUAUACUUCUAAUUUCAUUUUAAAAAGUUUUUUUCUUACAUUUUCAUAAGUUUUGAUGAAUUUUUGGUUUAUGAAUAUUUUGUGUCAAAAUAUCCACCGAUAUAUUUCAUCUAAUUAUCGAUAUAUCCGUGAUUAUCGAUAUUUUCAUUAUUGACUUAUUCUAAAAAACUUUUUUAUUAAUUCAACCAAACGUGUUAUUUUUUAGAAUAAAAACUAUCUUUCAGAAUUCAGUUCCUAAAUACAUUUUUUUUAAGCAAAAAAAACUAUUAUUAAAAAUUUUUCUCAAAAAUUGUUUUUCAUAUGUUUUCAAAAAUAGCAACCAAAAGACCCAAUGUCCCUAUGUUUUAUGCUGUUUUUCAUUGUCAGCGACUGCUUGACUGGGUCAAGUAGUUGUGUUGGGCUCAGUUUGAGUGGAGUUUGUAGCGAUGUAAAUUUGUUUUUAUUACAUUUUUAUAGCUACCAAAAAGAGAGCCUGGGUGAACCCCCACACGAAUCAGAUAUCAAAGUCAAUUUUCUUUCACCCUCUUUCGUUGCCGAGCAAAUUUUAGGUAAAAACCAAUUAAGUCUGAUGUUUGCUGUUUUUGUUUCUUAAAAAUUUGAUCACUAUUGCUUGAUUGAGUCUAGUUGUGAUAUCCCACAUCGGAUAGGGGAGGAAGUUCCUGGCGCUAUAUAUGUAGAGGCUCCUCUUAACCAAGUAGACGCGUUUUAAAGCCGUGAGGGCCCCCUUGGGCCCAAAGCGGACAAUAUCUACAUGGUUGGGUGCGGGUCGUUACAAAUGGUAUCAGAGCCGAUCCCCAACCCCGGUGUGGGGGUUUGUUUGGCUUUGUCUAUUUGGCCCCGCAAUCCCAUGGGACACAACGAGGACGUUGUGUCUGCAUGGGGGGGUAUUUGUGAUAUCCCACAUCGGAUAGGGGAGGAAGUUCCUGGCGCUAUAUAUGUAGAGGCUCCUCUUAACCAAGUAGACGCGUUUUAAAGCCGUGAGGGCCCCCUUGGGCCCAAAGCGGACAAUAUCUACAUGGUUGGGUGCGGGUCGUUACACUAGUAGUUGUUUCGGGCUCAGCUGGAGUGGAGUUGAUAGCGAUGAAAGAUUUGAAUUUUUCUUUUCCUGCAUUUUCCUGACCACCAAAGAAAGCCUGGGCCUAACCCACUCGAAACCAUGGUUGGGAAAUCAAAUUUUUUUCCCCUCUGUUAUGUUGUUGAGAAGCUGCAAGGAAAAAGAUGAGGAAAGAAGAGGAGAAUUCUGGGUCUUAUGUUUUCUGCUGUUUUGUUUGUUAAAACAUGGUCAUCUCUUUUGCUUCUCAUACAUCCUUUGAGAACCAAACUAAGCCUAAUUAAUAUUUUAAUCCUAGAAUUUUUUUUUACUUAUUAGCAAACUGAAAAAAAAAAAGGGAUAACCGAUUAAAAGGGAUGAAAUCUUUCCCACUUCGAAGGAUUUUUUCAACCUAAAAAAUAUUAUUUUUUGACAAAAAUGCUCUCAUUUCUUUCUUGUAAAAAUAACCAUUUCUUUUAAAAUGCACAUGUAAAUCAUGAAAAUGUUGAAGGGUAUUUAUGUCAAAAAUGGGUUACUCUUCAAGUUCAAAAAUGGGGAAGGUUAGUUUUACAAAUUUGGGAUUUUUUUUUUUGUUCAAUUUGCUCUUAAAUUAGAUGUAGGUUUCUGUACUGUAAAUGAUUCAUUCACAUUGAUUGAUAUGCUUUUAUUGCAGAAACCCAAAUGCUUGCCUUCCCACAAAAGAUAGUUGGAUAUGUAAAUGUGUGGCAACACCUUCCACAGAGACGACUGGUACAUUUUUUUUCCCAUUAAUUUUAUAGUUAUAUCAAUGUUCUUAUUUUUAAUUAUGUUUCUAUGCAUCUGGUCAAGUCAUUAGUGUUAUGAAUUUCUGGGAAAUUUUUUAGUUAUGAACCUAUUUUGCAGUUCGAGAGGGGCUUUAAAUUUUUUCUAGAAGUUAUUUGAUAACAUAAUUGAGUGCCACUACUGAAUUUUUUAUGGGAUAAGUUGGGAUAAAUUGCUUAUGAUAAUAUGCCAUAGUACUGACUAAAAUCUUAUUUUCUUUGGAAAUGGGAUUGAAAAAUUGAGGGUCUUGCAACAUGAUGUGGUGUGGCCAAUGGACUCUGUUUCUUGAUUUUAAAGUGUCAAUCUGACACAAUUUUUCCUUCAUUUUGUUAGGCUAAUGAUAAAUAUGCUGUUUCUGCAACUUGAAGAUUUUAUUGUUACCAAUUCAGCACUACGAUUUUCAAUCCCUAAGUGUUAGUUCCACCAAAUUUUGCUAAGUGUUGCUUAUCAUGUGAUGUAUGAGAGUAAAAAAUAAUGUAAUUUUGGGAGCGUUUUGAUUAUUGCCAUCGAGUGACAUUUGAAUAGCAGAGGGAUGUAGCUCAAAAGGGAGAGGUCUUGUUUGGCAUGGUAUCAAGUUCUUGUCAUCUUAAAAAAUAUUAUUGCCACAUGAGUUCUAAUAGUGGCUUUUAAAAAUUUGUGUGAGAAGUAUAUUGUUAGCUAGUUUUCAAAUUGUAUCAAUUGAUGCAUGUGUAAGGCUUAAGUAGCUUGGCGAUUAUUUUACUUGAAACUAACACUCUCAACUGAGGAAUUUUAUCCCUUGACUAAGGUUGGAUUGUCAAGGCGCCCUUGAGGCUUGACUCAAGUGGUAAAGGGUUGGGGUGGGUUUACAGGAGGUUCCAGAUUCAAGUCCCAAUAGGGAUAAAAAGAAAAAAGAAAAAAACAAAUUACCUAUCAAAAAAAAAAAAAAAAGGUUGCAUUGUCAAGGCUUCUUAAUGACAUUUUCCUAAUAGAUGAUAAAAGGUGUACAUUUAAGGCACCAAAAGUAGGUGAAUCCUAGUAAACAUGCAGUGAAAAAAGAAUCAUCUAAUCAGUCUGGAAAGGAAAAAAAUGGGGGACUACUGGUGCCCAACACUUACAAGAACCAUUUGCCCAAUCCUUCUGUGUCAGCAAAACGAAAAUGAUAUAUUUUUUCCUCCACAAAGUCAACUAUCAACCACAUGAACAACCAAGGCUUAAGGAAAUAUAUAUGAGCUUUAAAACAUAGAGCUAAACCCCAUCAAGAACCCUUUGAUUCGUUUCUUUCUAUAAACAUCCACAAACACUCAAAGCGGUUGUCCUGCAAAAUUUCCUCCUCUUUCAUAGUGAACUUCCUUUCCAAAACAUUAGGGAAUUUUUUAGUAGUGGCAGGAAAAGCUCAAUAGAUCCCAAAUAGAGAAUAGAUAAAAGCCCAAAGUGUUGGAGAAGAUUAUGAUUGAUGAGUCCUCUAUU